Molecule: non-coding RNA, 358 nt
Organism: Pimephales promelas (fathead minnow)
Lineage: Eukaryota; Metazoa; Chordata; Actinopteri; Cypriniformes; Leuciscidae
Source: RefSeq, a predicted model, not a curated record
UUCACAGACUCAUCCAGUAAAAAAACAUGUGCUGGAAGGAUAUACUCUUGUAAUUUCUGUAAAUUACAGAAUUGACGCUGAAAAAGACAUUCCCAGUCCAGAGCAAAGGGGCAUCAGCACUCACAACAGCGGUCCUUGACUGUGCCAUCUACGACCGAGGAGAACCGCUCAGCUUCGACAUCGAAUGACGUUUCUUGGAAGAAUGAGGAUGAAAUCAUCUAUUUAAGUUUGAAGGAAAACAAAGGGGAUGUAUUGCAGCACUAUGAAAUUAUGAAAAGGCUGGGUCAAGGAUCGUAUGGAAAUGUUUACGAGGGGAUCCGUUUGAUUUACGAAAGGUGGCUCUCAAAUUUGUGGUGAA